Molecule: transfer RNA, 87 nt
Filed under: Candidatus Terrybacteria bacterium RIFCSPLOWO2_01_FULL_40_23
Lineage: Bacteria; Candidatus Terryibacteriota
Description: tRNA-Leu
Rfam family: tRNA
About the family: Transfer RNA (tRNA) molecules are approximately 80 nucleotides in length. Their secondary structure includes four short double-helical elements and three loops (D, anti-codon, and T loops). Further hydrogen bonds mediate the characteristic L-shaped molecular structure. tRNAs have two regions of fundamental functional importance: the anti-codon, which is responsible for specific mRNA codon recognition, and the 3' end, to which the tRNAs corresponding amino acid is attached (by aminoacyl-tRNA synthetases). tRNAs cope with the degeneracy of the genetic code in two manners: having more than one tRNA (with a specific anti-codon) for a particular amino acid; and 'wobble' base-pairing, i.e. permitting non-standard base-pairing at the 3rd anti-codon position.
Source: RNAcentral
GCGCGGGUGGCGGAACUGGUAGACGCGUCAGCUUGAGGGGCUGAUGGGAGCAAUCCCUUGGAGGUUCGAGUCCUCUCCCGCGCACAA